GAUGAACGCUAGCGAUAGGCUUAACACAUGCAAGUCGAGGGGCAGCAUGGUCUUAGCUUGCUAAGGCUGAUGGCGACCGGCGCACGGGUGCGUAACGCGUAUGCAACUUGCCUCACAGAGGGGGAUAACCCGUCGAAAGACGGUCUAAUACCGCGUACACUCUAUGUUGGGCAUCCAAUGUAGAGGAAAUGAAAUUCGCUGUGAGAUAGGCAUGCGUCCCAUUAGCUAGUUGGUGAGGUAACGGCUCACCAAGGCGACGAUGGGUAGGGGAACUGAGAGGUUGAACCCCCACACUGGUACUGAGACACGGACCAGACUCCUACGGGAGGCAGCAGUGAGGAAUAUUGGUCAAUGGGCGAGAGCCUGACCCAGCCAAGUCGCGUGAAGGAUGACUGUCUUAUGGAUUGUAAACUUCUUUUAUACGGGAAUAACAAGAGUCACGUGUGGCUCCCUGCAUGUACCGUAUGAAUAAGCAUCGGCUAACUCCGUG
RNAcentral lists this ribosomal RNA (490 nucleotides) under uncultured bacterium. Its description in RNAcentral is "partial 16S ribosomal RNA". It matches the Rfam family "Bacterial small subunit ribosomal RNA", at positions 28 to 507 of the family's 1533-position model. The record is from RNAcentral.